This is a long non-coding RNA of Sardina pilchardus (European sardine), 354 nucleotides long. RefSeq lists it as uncharacterized. NCBI's taxonomy places the organism in Eukaryota, Metazoa, Chordata, Actinopteri, Clupeiformes, Clupeidae. The transcript has 3 exons. The record is from RefSeq and is a predicted model, not a curated record.
CUGACCCACACAGCAGAGGGUUCCAAAACGGACCCUCUGCGGCGGACUCCGUGCGGAUUCGCACAUCGAACGCGCCCUUUCCAGUCCUAACGGCUCCUUCAGUUUUCAAAUUUCUCGUUGAUGAAGUGGAAGACGAAACAGCGGCGUCUGAAGGCUCACUGUCAUUCACAAGUGGCUCCAGUCUGGUUUGGGGGUUCUGCCAUCCAAGUAAAGUUAUUCACAAGUGGCUCCAGUCUGGUUUGGGGGUCUACGCUUUCUCAUCCUGUCCUGCCACCCAAGUGAAGUAAGCUAUACAGUUUUACAUUUGAUUUAUUUGACUUUUGGUCUAAACAUCAAUAAUAAAAAUAACUAUAU